GACGAACGCUGGCGGCGUGCUUAACACAUGCAAGUCGAACGGAAAGGCCCUGCUUGCAGGGUACUCGAGUGGCGAACGGGUGAGUAACACGUGGGUGAUCUGCCCUGCACUUCGGGAUAAGCCUGGGAAACUGGGUCUAAUACCGGAUAGGAGCCAUUUUUAGUGUGAUGGUUGGAAAGUUUUUUCGGUGUAGGAUGAGCUCGCGGCCCAUCAGCUUGUUGGUGGGGUAAUGGCCUACCAAGGCGGCGACGGGUAGCCGGCCUGAGAGGGUGGACGGCCACAUUGGGACUGAGAUACGGCCCAGACUCCUACGGGAGGCAGCAGUGGGGAAUAUUGCACAAUGGGCGCAAGCCUGAUGCAGCGACGCCGCGUGGGGGAUGACGGCCUUCGGGUUGUAAACUCCUUUCGCUAGGGACGAAGCUUUUUGUGACGGUACCUAGAUAAGAAGCACCGGCUAACUACGUG
RNAcentral lists this ribosomal RNA (465 nucleotides) under uncultured bacterium. Its description in RNAcentral is "partial 16S ribosomal RNA". It matches the Rfam family "Bacterial small subunit ribosomal RNA", at positions 28 to 507 of the family's 1533-position model. The record is from RNAcentral.